AACGAACGCUGGCGGCGUGGAUAAGACAUGCAAGUGGGACGCUGGCUGCGGGGUAGCAAUAUUCCGCAGUUGGAGUCGCGAAAGGGUGCGUAACACGUGGGAAAUUUACCGCGAAGCCCGGAAUAACUCGCUGAAAGGCGAGCUAAUACCGGAUGUGACUCCCGGGGGCAGAUCCCGGGAUUUAAAGUUGGGGACCGCAAGGCCUGACACUUUGUGAUAAGCCCGCGACCUAUCAGCUAGUUGGUGAGGUAAUGGCUCACCAAGGCUAAGACGGGUAGCUGGUCUGAGAGGACGACCAGCCACACUGGAACUGAGACACGGUCCAGACACCUACGGGUGGCUG
RNAcentral lists this ribosomal RNA (343 nucleotides) under uncultured Verrucomicrobiota bacterium. Its description in RNAcentral is "bacterial SSU rRNA". It matches the Rfam family "Bacterial small subunit ribosomal RNA", at positions 29 to 351 of the family's 1533-position model. Lineage: Bacteria; Pseudomonadati; Verrucomicrobiota. The record is from RNAcentral.